AGUGGGGAAUCUUAGACAAUGGGCGCAAGCCUGAUCUAGCCAUGCCGCGUGAGUGAUGAAGGCCUUAGGGUCGUAAAGCUCUUUCGCCAGGGAUGAUAAUGACAGUACCUGGUAAAGAAACCCCGGCUAACUCCGUGCCAGCAGCCGCGGUAAUACGGAGGGGGUUAGCGUUGUUCGGAAUUACUGGGCGUAAAGCGCACGUAGGCGGAUCAGAAAGUUGGGGGUGAAAUCCCGGGGCUCAACCCCGGAACUGCCUCCAAAACUCCUGGUCUUGAGUUCGAGAGAGGUGAGUGGAAUUCCGAGUGUAGAGGUGAAAUUCGUAGAUAUUCGGAGGAACACCAGUGGCGAAGGCGGCUCACUGGCUCGAUACUGACGCUGAGGUGCGAAAGUGUGGGGAGCAAA
This 402-nucleotide ribosomal RNA is filed under the name uncultured Sulfitobacter sp. Its description in RNAcentral is "bacterial SSU rRNA". It matches the Rfam family "Bacterial small subunit ribosomal RNA", at positions 353 to 772 of the family's 1533-position model. Lineage: Bacteria; Pseudomonadati; Pseudomonadota; Alphaproteobacteria; Rhodobacterales; Roseobacteraceae. The record is from RNAcentral.